CCUACGGGCGGCUGCAGUGAGGAAUAUUGGUCAAUGGACGCAAGUCUGAACCAGCCAAGUAGCGUGCAGGAUGACGGCCCUCCGGGUUGUAAACUGCUUUUAGUUGGGAAUAAAAGGGGGCUCGUGAGCCCCGUAUUGUAUGUACCAUCAGAAAAAGGACCGGCUAAUUCCGUGCCAGCAGCCGCGGUAAUACGGAAGGUCCGGGCGUUAUCCGGAUUUAUUGGGUUUAAAGGGAGCGUAGGCCGGCUUUUAAGUCAGCUGUGAAAGUCCGCGGCUCAACCGUGGAAUUGCAGUUGAAACUGGAGGCCUUGAGUGCACACAGGGAUGCCGGAAUUCCUUGUGUAGCGGUGAAAUGCGUAGAUAUAAGGAAGAACACCAGUGGCGAAGGCGGAUGACUGGACGGCAACUGACGGUGAGGCGCGAAAGCGUGGGGAGCAAACAGGAUUAGAUACCCGAGUAGUC
Molecule: ribosomal RNA, 462 nt
Filed under: uncultured bacterium
Lineage: Bacteria
Description: partial 16S ribosomal RNA
Rfam family: Bacterial small subunit ribosomal RNA
Source: RNAcentral